GAUUGAACGCUGGCGGCAGGCCUAACACAUGCAAGUCGAGCGGUAGCACAGAGAGCUUGCUCUCGGGUGACGAGCGGCGGACGGGUGAGUAAUGUCUGGGAAACUGCCUGAUGGAGGGGGAUAACUACUGGAAACGGUAGCUAAUACCGCAUAACGUCGCAAGACCAAAGUGGGGGACCUUCGGGCCUCAUGCCAUCAGAUGUGCCCAGAUGGGAUUAGCUGGUAGGUGGGGUAACGGCUCACCUAGGCGACGAUCCCUAGCUGGUCUGAGAGGAUGACCAGCCACACUGGAACUGAGACACGGCCCAAACUCCUACGGGAGGCAGCAGUAGGGAAUCUUCCACAAUGGACGAAAGUCUGAUGGAGCAACGCCGCGUGAGUGAAGAAGGGUUUCGGCUCGUAAAACUCCGUUGUUAAAGAAGAACAUAUCUGAGAGUAACUGUUCAGGUAUUGACGGUAUUUAACCAGAAAGCCACGGCUAACUACGUGCCAGCAGCCGCGGUAAUACGUAGGUGGCAAGCGUUGUCCGGAUUUAUUGGGCGUAAAGCGAGCGCAGGCGGUUUUUUAAGUCUGAUGUGAAAGCCUUCGGCUCAACCGAAGAAGUGCAUCGGAAACUGGGAAACUUGAGUGCAGAAGAGGACAGUGGAACUCCAUGUGUAGCGGUGAAAUGCGUAGAUAUAUGGAAGAACACCAGUGGCGAAGGCGGCUGUCUGGUCUGUAACUGACGCUGAGGCUCGAAAGUAUGGGUAGCAAACAGGAUUAGAUACCCUGGUAGUCCAUACCGUAAACGAUGAACACUAGGUGUUAGGAGGUUUCCGCCUCUUAGUGCCGAAGCUAACGCAUUAAGUGUUCCGCCUGGGGAGUACGACCGCAAGGUUGAAACUCAAAGGAAUUGACGGGGACCCGCACAAGCGGUGGAGCAUGUGGUUUAAUUCGAAGCAACGCGAAGAACCUUACCAGGUCUUGACAUCCUUUGAAGCUUUUAGAGAUAGAAGUGUUCUCUUCGGAGACAAAGUGACAGGUGGUGCAUGGUCGUCGUCAGCUCGUGUCGUGAGAUGUUGGGUUAAGUCCCGCAACGAGCGCAACCCUUAUUGUUAGUUGCCAGCAUUCAGAUGGGCACUCUAGCGAGACUGCCGGUGACAAACCGGAGGAAGGCGGGGACGACGUCAGAUCAUCAUGCCCCUUAUGACCUGGGCUACACACGUGCUACAAUGGCGUAUACAACGAGUUGCCAGCCCGCGAGGGUGAGCUAAUCUCUUAAAGCCAUUCUCAGUUCGGAUUGUAGGCUGCAACUCGCCUACAUGAAGUCGGAAUCGCUAGUAAUCGCGGAUCAGCAUGCCGCGGUGAAUACGUUCCCGGGCCUUG
RNAcentral lists this ribosomal RNA (1365 nucleotides) under uncultured Lactobacillus sp. RNAcentral's name for it is "bacterial SSU rRNA". It matches the Rfam family "Bacterial small subunit ribosomal RNA", at positions 27 to 1383 of the family's 1533-position model. The record is from RNAcentral. Lineage: Bacteria; Bacillati; Bacillota; Bacilli; Lactobacillales; Lactobacillaceae.